Molecule: ribosomal RNA, 426 nt
Filed under: uncultured bacterium
Lineage: Bacteria
Description: partial 16S ribosomal RNA
Rfam family: Bacterial small subunit ribosomal RNA
Source: RNAcentral
GUGAGGAAUUUUCCGCAAUGGGCGAAAGCCUGACGGAGCAAUGCCGCGUGAAGGAUGAAGGCCUAUGGGUUGUAAACUUCUUUUCUCAGAAAAGAAUUAUGACGGUAUCUGAGGAAUAAGCAUCGGCUAACUCUGUGCCAGCAGCCGCGGUAAGACAGAGGAUGCAAGCGUUAUCCGGAAUGAUUGGGCGUAAAGCGUCUGUAGGUUGUUUAAAAAGUAUUCUGUCAAAGAUUAGGGCUUAACCCUAGAUAGGCAGAAUAAACUUUUAAGCUAGAGUUUGAUAGAGGCAGAGGGAAUACCCGGUGGAGCGGUGAAAUGCGUAGAUAUCGGGAGGAACACCAAAGGCGAAGGCACUCUGCUGGGCCAAUACUAACACUGAGAGACGAAAGCGAGGGGAGCAAAUGGGAUUAGAUACCCGAGUAGUCC